Molecule: ribosomal RNA, 773 nt
Filed under: uncultured Neocallimastigales
Lineage: Eukaryota; Fungi; Neocallimastigomycota; Neocallimastigomycetes; Neocallimastigales
Description: partial large subunit ribosomal RNA
Rfam family: Eukaryotic large subunit ribosomal RNA (bases 6-663)
Source: RNAcentral
CUAUACAUGACUCUGCGCAUAUCAAUAAGCGGAGGAAAAGAAACUAACAAGGAUUCCCUCAGUAACGGCGAGUGAAGCGGGAAGAGCUCAAAUUUGAAAUCUUGAAAGGUCACCUUUCACGAAUUGUAGUUUAAAGAAGUGUUUUCUGUUACGAUCGUAAUAUAAGUUCUUUGGAAUAGGACAGUCACAGAGGGUGAGAAUCCCGUCUAUGAUUGCGAUUUGUAGCUUUGUGAUACACUUUCAAAGAGUCGGGUUGUUUGGGAAUGCAGCCCAAAACGGGAGGUAAAUUUCUUCUAAGGCUAAAUAUUGGCGAGAGACCGAUAGCGAACAAGUACCGUGAGGGAAAGAUGAAAAGAACUUUGAAAAGAGAGUUAAAUAGUACGUGAAAUUGUCAAAAGGGAAGCGUUUAACACCAGUGUUGUUUUCUGAAAAUCAACCUCUGUUAGCUUUAUGCAUGUUUGUUUAGACCUAAUCAGCUAUCUUUCAUGUUCUAUUGUUUGCAGUGGUGCACUUUUCAGCUUUACAGGUCAACAUCAGUUUUUUUUACCGUAAAAAAGUUAAAGAAAGGUAGCUCAUGGCUCCGGUCGUGAGUGUUAUAGUCUUUUUCCUAUGCGGUAGGAGAGACUGAGGUCUGCAGUGUAGGCUAUUUGGCUAGAUACUCAGGUGCUAUGUGAUACCAUUUCAUAAACAACUUGUUGAUUAUGUUUUGUCUAUUGCAUACUCGCUUGUACUAUCAUACCUACGCUUAGGAUGUUGAGUCGUAGAGCACGCAG